RNAcentral lists this ribosomal RNA (206 nucleotides) under uncultured bacterium. RNAcentral's name for it is "partial 16S ribosomal RNA". It matches the Rfam family "Bacterial small subunit ribosomal RNA", at positions 568 to 774 of the family's 1533-position model. The record is from RNAcentral.
CACGUAGGCGGAUUUGUAAGUUAGGGUGAAAUCCCGGGGCUCAACCUCGGAACUGCCUUUGAUACUGCAAGUCUAGAGUCCGAGAGAGGUGAGUGGAAUUCCUAGUGUAGAGGUGAAAUUCGUAGAUAUUAGGAAGAACACCAGUGGCGAAGGCGGCUCACUGGCUCGGUACUGACGCUGAGGUGCGAAAGCGUGGGGAGCAAACA